UGUAGGGCCACUGCUCAAAAGCAAUAACUCUGCCACUGCAAUAACAACGAUAACAAGUUAAUAAUUCAGCGUUCAGGACCUGUACAAAAUAUGGUAUGCAGAGAAUUGAAGAUCAGAACAUUCCGCUGAACCAAGAACUUGAUCUAUCAGUUUUGAAACAUGCCCUGGAGCACAAACACAAAGAGAGCCGAUCUCUGCAGGAGGAAUGAGGUCUGUGUCACACCUGGCUGUGGGCCUGAUGGAGGCUUCAAAGAGUGAAGGAAGCUGCCUUCAGGUUGCAGAAAGGACAAGCCCACUUCAUAAAUCCAUUUUGUAAGCUUCUAAAAAAUCUUUUGCCCAAGUUCUUGAGACUUUCCUGACUCUUUCCAGUGUGUGAGGCCUGGGAAAACAUUUUUUACUUGGU
Microcebus murinus (gray mouse lemur) is the source of this 403-nucleotide non-coding RNA. NCBI's taxonomy places the organism in Eukaryota, Metazoa, Chordata, Mammalia, Primates, Cheirogaleidae. The record is from RefSeq and is a predicted model, not a curated record.